GAGGAUAAAGAGGGAAGAAUAGAUGAAAGAAUUAAUAUAUUUGUAAUUAUUUGUUUGAAUAUAAAAUAUGACAAUAGAAGUAUAGAGAAAGAAAUCUUGAUUUGGGUUUAAUAGAGGAUGUUUAAUACCUUUUGUAUUAGGGUUAAUUGAUGAGAUGAUCUUUGAUAGAAUUUCUCGAAGGGUGAUGAGCUAAGGUUUUUAAGAGGGUAUGUUGAAGAAUAUUUAUAAGAGGGAAUUUUAGUGGUGAUAUACUAUUCAAAUCACUUUAUUAUCUAGUUAUUCAAUAAAUUUAAUUUGGGGUAUUAGUAUUUGACCGAUUAGUAAGGACUAGCUUAUUGAUUUUGUAUAUUUGUUUAGGUGUAAUAGGUAGAGGAGUUCGGUUGAGUUAGAAGUGCUUGUGGAAAUAAAGUUAUUAUUAUUUAUUCUAAGCGAAAGAUUUUAUAAUAAAAUAUUAAUUUAUUGAAUAAAAAUAGAUAAUAAUGGCUAUUUUAUAUAGUGAUUAUAUAAGUAAAAAAUGUUUAUUGUUGAAGUUGGUGGUUAGUAGUAAUAGUAAUAAAGUAUAUGAGUGGGCUAGUUGACUUGAGUAGAUGAAUUCGACAAUAAUUUCUGUGACUGUUUAGCAAAAACAUUGUUUAUCGGUAAGAAGAUAAAUAAUUUCUGCCGACUGCGGGUAGGUAAAGGGCUGCAGUAUUUUGACUGUAUAAAGGUAGCAUAAUCAUUAGUUUUUUAAUUUGGGACUGGUAUGAAGAGAGAACAUAGGAAUGGUGUAUUGUGAUAGGAGUGUUGAAUUUGAUUGUUUUGUGAAAAAUCAAAGAUUAACUAAAGGGACAAGAAGACCCUAUAAAAUUUUAUUAUUGGGGUAACACGUUUAUAGGGAAAUUUAUACAACUUAUGAAUAGUAGUUUAAUUGGGGCGAUAGAUAAAUAACAUUAUUUUUGAUUUAAUUUGUGAGGCGACAGAGAGACCUAAUUUGGUUAGAUGAAAGGAGAAUUACUUUAGGGAUAACAGCGUUAUCAUUUUAUAGAGUUCAUAUCGACAAAAUGGAUUGCGACCUCGAUGUUGGAUUAAGGUAAACGGUGGUGAAGUAGUCGUCAUUUUUGGUCUGUUCGACCAAUAGAAUCUUACAUGAUCUGAGUUCAAACCGGCGUGAGCCAGGUUGGUUUCUAUCUUUUGGGUGAAGUGUUGUGGCAUUAGUACGAAAGGACCAUGUUGUUAAAAGUAUUUUGG
Molecule: ribosomal RNA, 1227 nt
Filed under: Xystodesmus sp. YD-2016
Lineage: Eukaryota; Metazoa; Arthropoda; Diplopoda; Polydesmida; Xystodesmidae
Description: 16S ribosomal RNA
Rfam family: Bacterial large subunit ribosomal RNA (bases 797-1227)
Source: RNAcentral